Molecule: small nucleolar RNA, 75 nt
Organism: Hyla sarda
Lineage: Eukaryota; Metazoa; Chordata; Amphibia; Anura; Hylidae
Product: small nucleolar RNA SNORD79
Exons: 1
Source: RefSeq, a predicted model, not a curated record
CACAAUGAUGAAUUAAUAAAUAAUCAAUGGGAAUCUCUCUGAAUAAGAAUGAAAGAGAACCUUUCUCUGAUCGUG